AGAGUUUGAUCAUGGCUCAGGAUGAACGCUAGCUACAGGCUUAACACAUGCAAGUCGAGGGGAAACGACAUCGAAAGCUUGCUUUUGAUGGGCGUCGACCGGCGCACGGGUGAGUAACGCGUAUCCAACCUGCCCACCACUUGGGGAUAACCUUGCGAAAGUAAGACUAAUACCCAAUGACGUCUCUAGAAGACAUCUGAAGGAGAUUAAAGAUUUAUCGGUGAUGGAUGGGGAUGCGUCUGAUUAGCUUGUUGGCGGGGUAACGCCCACAAGGCGACGAUCAGUAGGGGUUCUGAGAGGAACGGUCCCCCACAUUGGAAACUGAGACACGGUCCAAACUUCCGACGGGAGGCA
Molecule: ribosomal RNA, 354 nt
Filed under: uncultured bacterium
Lineage: Bacteria
Description: bacterial SSU rRNA
Rfam family: Bacterial small subunit ribosomal RNA
Source: RNAcentral